GCGUUGUUCGGAUUUACUGGGCGUAAAGGGCGCGUAGGCGGUGUGACAAGUCACUUGUGAAAUCUCCGAGCUUAACUCGGAACGGUCAAGUGAUACUGUUGUGCUAGAGUACAGAAGGGGCAAUCGGAAUUCUUGGUGUAGCGGUGAAAUGCGUAGGUAUCAAGAGGAACACCUGAGGUGAAGACGGGUUGCUGGGCUGAUACUGACGCUGAGGCGCGAAAGCUAG
Molecule: ribosomal RNA, 226 nt
Filed under: uncultured bacterium
Lineage: Bacteria
Description: partial 16S ribosomal RNA
Rfam family: Bacterial small subunit ribosomal RNA
Source: RNAcentral